Penaeus vannamei (Pacific white shrimp) is the source of this 3514-nucleotide non-coding RNA. NCBI's taxonomy places the organism in Eukaryota, Metazoa, Arthropoda, Malacostraca, Decapoda, Penaeidae. The record is from RefSeq and is a predicted model, not a curated record.
AGUUUUGAUUACUAUAAAUGGCAGCUAAAGCGCUUGGGAAAGCACAUCUUCAAGAUGAUGUCUUUCAUGAUAAUUCUUGGGAUGGUGGCUGCAACUGCAGUUGCCAUGCCCACAAAUGUGCCUGAUUGUUCUGGUGAGGGCAGGUUCCCCAACCCAAAUACGUGUGGUGGAUUCUACGACUGCAUACAAGAUGACAAUGGGGGCUAUGAAUUAUCUUUUGAUGACUGUAAUGGAUUCGUCUUCAACACUACCUCCAGGACGUGCAGCAGUGAGAUGUGUCUUUCAAGGAGUGAGCGGAGUGUGACUAAUGCAUAUCCCAGGUACUCUUACUUGUGUGAAGGUCAGCCUGAUGACUUUGUGUGCGCCGACUGCAGAACCAUGGUCAUGUGUGUGAAAGGUCAGGCCUUUGCCCGCCAGUGCAUCAGUGGGAGGUCUUGUAGUAUCAAGGCAGCCUUUGGGGGUGCAGUGUGCUACCCAGGUCAUCCUGCUGCAUGCACCUGCCAGAGCGCGGACUCGUUUGUCCGCGAUCUGUAUGACCCACAGAAGUUCUUCAGCUGCUCUGGCAUCGGAGUACUCCCCGAGAUCCACGUUUGCCCUGAUGGCAUGGUGUUUGACGAGACCCUUGUGCAGUGUCGCAACCAAGCCAGUCUUCCAGCUUGCAGACGGCCUGGUGUCUUUGCAAACCUUGAUGACUGCUCUGAAUAUUACUCGUGCAUCUCGCUUCAAUCUGGGUGGCUGCAGAGGCUGUUCAUGUGCCCAAAUGGAACCUUGUUCAACGAGGCAACGGGAGCUUGUGAAGAUCCUUGCAAGCGGACAAUGGUGUGCUAUGAGGAAGGCAGGUUCCCAGAUCCCCUCGACCGCCGUAGCUACUACGAAUGCCUGAUUAUUGGUGGGCUGAUGAAGCGUGCCCGUACCAGUGCCCCCAUGGUUAUGUGUGGAAGGCUAACGACUCUGGUGAUGGAGGAGCGUGUGUGGAGGACCACGAGAUGAAUCUGUAUGACUACUUCACCCGCUGUAGCAUUCCACAGGGGAUGUGUCCUGAUGAGACUACAGAUCCCUGUCUGGCAAACAACGGCGGCUGCAAUGCCAAUGCAGACUGCUUAACAAUUAAUGGAGGUGUGAGUUGCACUUGCAGAGCAGGGUACAGUGGUGAUGGAUAUACAUGUAUAGAUGUUGAUGAAUGUGCUGUGGCCAACGGCGGAUGUUCUGCAAGUGCCACGUGUACAAACUCUGAUGGCAGUUUCCAGUGCAGUUGCUUAGCAGGAUACACUGGUGACGGCUUCACCUGCAUUGAUGUUGACGAGUGCUUGGUUGCCAAUGGUGGAUGUGGUGCAAAUGCUUUUGUAGCAAUACUCCAGGCAGCCGUGACUGCACCUGUAAAUCAGGUUCACUGGGGAUGGCCUAGUUUGCACAGACGUUGACGAGUGUCUGGUGGCUAAUGGUGGAUGCCAUGCUAAUGCGGACUGUAAAAAAUGAUGUUGGUGGCAGAACUUGCACUGUCAUCCUGGUUACACUGGUGAUGGACUUCAAUGUACUGAGGUGGACGAAUGUCUGGUUGCCAACGGUGUUGCGACGCAAAUGCCCGUUGCAGCAAUACUCCAGGCAGCCGUGACUGCACCUGUAAAUCAGGAUUCACUGGGGAUGGCAUAGUUUGCACAGAUGUGGAUGAGUGUUUGGUAGCUAAUGGUGGGUGCCAUGCUAAAGCUAAGUGUACAAACACUGCUGGCAGCAGAACUUGUUCUUGCCUUGCUGGUUAUACAGGUGAUGGAAAAGUGUGCCAGCCCCUCAAGGUAAGUAUUUAUGAUAGUUGGGAUUUAGGUGUUAAUUCAUAACCAACUAAUAGUAACUUUAAUUCCUGAAUAAUAACAUGUCUUUCUCCACUUCCAGUGCCCUGUUGGUUUGCUGGUGAAGGUGCAGAGUGUGCUCCGGACUCUGACCUUGAUGGCUACCCAGACACUGAACUGAGCUGUUCAAGCAAGUACUGCCGUAAGGAUAACUGCGUCAAUAGGCCCAACUCCGGACAAGAGGAUGCCGAUGGUGAUAAGAUUGGCGAUGCUUGUGAUAAUGAUGCUGAUGGAGAUGGACAUGACAAUAAUAAGGAUAACUGUCCCCUGAUAGCCAACCCUGGCCAAAGCGACAAGGAUAAGGAUAAACGUGGAAAUAAAUGUGACAACUGCCCUGAUGACUCCAACCCCAACCAAAGCGAUAUUGAUGGGGACGGAAAAGGCGACAAAUGCGACAACGAUAUUGAUAAUGAUGGAUUGCUAAAUGGUGCAGACAAUUGUCCUAAGGUAGCUAAUGGCAACCAAGCUGACAGUGAUGGAGAUGGUAUUGGAGAUGCUUGCGACAACUGCCCUCAGCACGCCAACCAAGGGCAAAGUGAUAAGGAUGAAGAUCUCCUAGGGAAUGCCUGUGAUGAUGACGUGGACACUGACAGUGAUGGUGUGGAGGACAGUGUGGACAACUGUCCAAAUGUGGCCAAUAGUGACCAGCAAGAGACGUAGAUGGUGAUGGUAAAGGUGAUGCAUGUGAUACAGACAAUGACAAUGAUGGUGUACUUGACAAGAAUGACAACUGCGAACUAAUCCCAAAUAAGCAGCAGAAGGAUACCGACGGGGAUGGUUUUGGUGACGCCUGCAGUGAUGACAAGGAUGGUGACAAGGUCUUAGAUCCGGAUGACAACUGCAUUUAUAACCCUAAUGUGCACAGCACCGACUUCAGACAUCUGCAAAUGGUGGCACUAGACCCGCAAACGGCAUCUACUCCUCCGGUAUGGGUCGUCUAUGACAACGGUGCAGAAAUUCAUCAGACCGUGAACUCUGACCCAGCUAUAGCAGUGGGUGACCACGUUCUGGGCGAUGUCGACUUUGAGGGGACCUUCUUCAUUGAAGACACGAGUGAUGACGAUUUUGUUGGCUUUAUAUUCGGUUACCAAAGCAAUGCCAAGUUCUAUGUUGUGAGUUGGAAAAAAGCACCACAAAACUGGUUCAACAAGGCCGAGAGAGGCGUUACUCUGAAGCUAGUAAACUCUAACACGGGCCCUGGCACGAAACUUAGGGAUGCCUUGUGGUUCACUGGGUCUACACCAAACCAGGCACAAUUGCUCUGGCAUGAUGGCAGCCUUGGAUGGAAACCCAAGGUUGCCUACCGCUGGCUGCUUCACCACCGGCCUGAUAUUGGAACCAUAAGGUUCUACUUGUACCAGGGAAAUAACCAGGUCAUGGACUCUGGAAACAUUUAUGACAGCACCCUGAAAGGAGGCAGACUGGGACUCUUCUGCUUCUCCCAGGAAGAAAUUAUAUGGUCCAACAUGGAGUAUAAAUGUGGAGAGGGUGUACCCCAGGCGAUGUUCAAUGACUUGCCUGCAAACCUACAGAAUCAGGUUCUGAGCUCUUAAAUUAAUUUCGAGUAAACGGACUAGAUGGUCUUGCACACGGAUCGACACGUCUUGAAGAUCACUUCUUAUUGAGAGACCCUAGUCUUGUAUUUUUAUAUUAAAUAAUUUUAAAUUAAA